Molecule: unclassified non-coding RNA, 288 nt
Organism: Callithrix jacchus (white-tufted-ear marmoset)
Lineage: Eukaryota; Metazoa; Chordata; Mammalia; Primates; Cebidae
Rfam family: Metazoan signal recognition particle RNA
About the family: The signal recognition particle (SRP) is a universally conserved ribonucleoprotein.
Source: Ensembl
UCCGGGAGCAGUGGCACGUGCCUGUGGUCCCAGCUACUCCGGAGGCUGAGGCAGGAGGAGGGCUUGAGCCUGGGAGUUCUGGGUAUAAUGUGCUAUGUGGAUCUGGUGUCUGCACUGGGUCUGGCAGCAGUAGGGUGACCUCCUGAGAGUGGGGGGUCACCAGGUUGCCCAAGGAGGGGUGAACCAGCCCAGGUUGGAAACAGAGCAAGUGAAAACUCCAGAUUGGGAUCGAACCUCUGAAUAGCCACUGCACUCCAGCCUGGGCAACAGAGCGAGACCUCAUCUCUG